RNAcentral lists this ribosomal RNA (225 nucleotides) under Triticum aestivum (bread wheat). RNAcentral describes it as "partial small subunit ribosomal RNA". The record is from RNAcentral. Lineage: Eukaryota; Viridiplantae; Streptophyta; Magnoliopsida; Poales; Poaceae.
AUGGAGAUGCCGAUUAAUGUAUUAGUCUGGAAUGUAAGGGGGCUGAAUAACCCUGGUAGGAGGUGUUCGAUCAGGCUUUUCACUCAAUCCUACAACAUUUCUUUAGUGUGUUUUCAAGAAUCAAAGUUGCCUACUGUGGAUGCAGCGGUGGUGUGUGAAUGCCUGGGUCCUGCUUUUGAUGCUUUUGAUUAUCUUCAGGCGGAUGGCAGAAGAGGAGGAAUUAUG